Molecule: ribosomal RNA, 1138 nt
Filed under: uncultured organism
Description: bacterial SSU rRNA
Rfam family: Bacterial small subunit ribosomal RNA
Source: RNAcentral
ACGCUGGCAGCAUGGAUUAGGCAUGCAAGUCGAACGAGACUCCGGGCUUCGGCCCGGAUGACAGUGGCGCAAGGGUGAGUAACACGUGAGUAAUCUGCCCCGAAGUCCGGGAUAGCCCAUGGAAACGUGGAUUAAUACCGGAUGUGGCUGUAUGAACUGCGGUUUUAACAGUUAAAGAUUCAUUGCUUCGGGAUGAGCUCGCGGUCCAUCAGCUUGUUGGUGAGGUAAUGGCUCACCAAGGCGACGACGGAUAGCUGGUCUGAGAGGAUGACCAGUCACACUGGGACUGAGACACUGCCCAGACUCCUACGGGAGGCUGCAGUCGAGAAUCUUCCGCAAUGGGCGCAAGCCUGACGGAGCAAUGCUGCGUGCCGGAUGAAGGCCUUCGGGUCGUAAACGGCUGUCACUCGGGACGAAUUUUGACGGUACCGAGAGAGGAAGCCACGGCUAACUACGUGCCAGCAGCCGCGGUAAUACGUAGGUGGCGAGCGUUAUUCGGAAUUAUUGGGCCUAGAGGGUUCGUAGGGGGUAAUGUAAGUCCGGUGUGAAAUCUCGAGGCUCAACCUCGAAACUGCAUUGGAAACUGCGUUACUUGAGUGUCAGAGAGGAAAGCGGAAUUCCUGGUGUAGCGGUGGAAUGCGUAGAUAUCAGGAAGAACACCGACGGCGAAGGCAGCUUUCUGGCUGACAACUGACCCUGAUGAACGAAAGCUAGGGUAGCGAACAGGAUUAGAUACCCUGGUAGUCCUAGCUGUAAACGUUGUGCACUGGAUGUGGGCGGAUUUGGUCCCGUCUGUGUCUGAGCGAAGGCGUUAAGUGCACCGCCUGGGGACUACGGCCGCAAGGCUAAAACUCAAAGGAAUUGACGGGGGCCCGCACAAGCGGUGGAGCAUGUGGCUCAAUUCGAGGCAACGCGAAGAACCUUACCUGGGUUUGACAUAUACCUGACCGCCGGUGAGAGCCGGUUUCUCUUUGAGCAGGUAUACAGGUGCUGCAUGGCUGUCGACAGCUCGUGCUGUGAAGUGUUCGGUUAAGUCCGGCAACGAGCGCAACCCACGCUGUUAGUUACCAUCAGGUGAAGCUGGGGACUCUAACAGGACUGCCCGUGCUAAGCGGGAGGAAGGCGUGGACGACGUCAA